UUCCUAGUGAUGUGUAUAGGCUGCAUGC
This 28-nucleotide non-coding RNA is filed under the name Bombyx mori (domestic silkworm). Lineage: Eukaryota; Metazoa; Arthropoda; Insecta; Lepidoptera; Bombycidae. The record is from RNAcentral.